AUUGAACGCUGGCGGCAUGCUUUACACAUGCCAGUCGAACGGCAGCGCGGGCUUCGGCCUGGCGGCGAGUGGCGAACGGGUGAGUAAUGCAUCGGAACGUGCCCAGUAGUGGGGGAUAGCCCGGCGAAAGCCGGAUUAAUACCGCAUACGACCUGAGGGUGAAAGCGGGGGACCGAAAGGCCUCGCGCUAUUGGAGCGGCCGAUGUCGGAUUAGCUAGUUGGUGGGGUAAAGGCUUACCAAGGCGACGAUCCGUAGCUGGUCUGAGAGGACGACCAGCCACACUGGGACUGAGACACGGCCCAGACUCCUACGGGAGGCAGCAGUGGGGAAUGUUGGACAAUGGGGGCAACCCUGAUCCAGCCAUGCCGCGUGCGGGAAGAAGGCCUUCGGGUUGUAAACCGCUUUUGUCCGGGAAGAAAUCCUCUGGGCUAAUACCCCGGGGGUAUGACGGUACCGGAAGAAUAAGCACCGGCUAACUACGUG
Molecule: ribosomal RNA, 484 nt
Filed under: uncultured bacterium
Lineage: Bacteria
Description: partial 16S ribosomal RNA
Rfam family: Bacterial small subunit ribosomal RNA
Source: RNAcentral